CUCUGAUUUGUCUGAUUUAAAUGCCCUUUUCUUAUUUUUAAUCUCUUGUUUUACUUCUCUACUAAGCCACAUUGGUUUUAAUUUGUUUCUUUUAUAUUUAUUACCCAAUGGUACAUACUGAGAAAUGUACCUUUCUAAUAUUUGCUUGAAUAGUUUCCAUUUAUUCUCAGUGUUUUUAUCACUAAGGAGUUUAUGCCAGUCGAUAUGUUGUACAGCUGCCCUAAUCUUAUUGAAAUUGGCUUUUUUUAAAUUAUAUGUUUUAGUAUACUCCACUUGCUUUUGCUUUUUUGAGUUUAUUUCAAAAUUUACCAUAUUGUGAUCACUAUUUCCCAAAUGCUCCCCUACUUGAAUGUUGGUUAAAAGAUCAACGUUGUUUGUUAUGACGAGAUCCAGACAAGCAUCCUUUCUAG
Molecule: non-coding RNA, 410 nt
Organism: Pelobates cultripes (western spadefoot toad)
Lineage: Eukaryota; Metazoa; Chordata; Amphibia; Anura; Pelobatidae
Source: the annotation of a GenBank genome assembly